RNAcentral lists this ribosomal RNA (445 nucleotides) under uncultured bacterium. Its description in RNAcentral is "partial 16S ribosomal RNA". It matches the Rfam family "Bacterial small subunit ribosomal RNA", at positions 354 to 796 of the family's 1533-position model. The record is from RNAcentral.
GUAGGGAAUAUUGGGCAAUGGAUGCAAGUCUGACCCAGCCAUCCCGCGUGCCGGAAGAAGGCCCUCAGGGUUGUAAACGGCUUUUGACGGUGAAGAAUCGACAGGAGGCGUCCUGUUUUGACGGUAGCCGUGGAAUAAGCACCGGCUAACUCCGUGCCAGCAGCCGCGGUAAUACGGAGGGUGGGAGCGUUGUCCGGAUGUAUGGGGUUUAAAGGGUGCGUAGGCUUGAAGGUCAGUCAGCCUUGAACAGCUGUCGCUUAACGAUAGUCUUGCCGCAGAUACUUCCUUUCUUGGAUGCGGAGGAGGCCACUUGAACGGAUGGUGUAGCGGUGAAAUGCAUAGAUAUCAUCCAGAACACCGAUUGCGAAGGCAGGUGGCUGUACCUUAAUCGACGCUGAUGCACGAAAGCAUGGGGAGCAAACAGGAUUAGAAACCCUAGUAGUCC